AUUGAACGCUGGCGGCAGGCCUAACACAUGCAAGUCGAACGAGUGGCGGACGGGUGAGUAAUGUCUGGGAAACUGCCUGAUGGAGGGGGAUAACUACUGGAAACGGUAGCUAAUACGGCAUACCAUCAGAUGUACCCAGAUGUGAUUAGCUAGUUGGUGGGGUAACGGCUCACAAAGGCGACGAUCCCUAGCUGGUCUGAGGGGAUGACCCGCCACACUGGAAUUGAGACACGGUCCGAACCCCUACGGGAGGCAGCAGUGGGGAAUAUUGGACAAUGGGCGCAAGCCUGAUGCAGCCAUGCCGCGUGUAUGAAGAGGGCCUUCGGGUUGUAAAGUACUUUCAGCGGGGAGGCGUUACCCGCAGAAGAAGCACCGGCUAACUCCGUGCCAGCAGCCGCGGUAAUAC
This 406-nucleotide ribosomal RNA is filed under the name uncultured bacterium. RNAcentral describes it as "partial 16S ribosomal RNA". It matches the Rfam family "Bacterial small subunit ribosomal RNA", at positions 30 to 526 of the family's 1533-position model. The record is from RNAcentral.